GUGGUGGUGGUGGGCGCUGCUUGUCAGCCACACCAAAUUGGAUGGUGGUGUCCUACACUAAUCAUGGGGGGCAAUUUGCAGAGGACAGGUAACUGGAGCAGAUCUCUGGAAGAAUUAAGCCUGAAGGAAGAAGCCUGCAUACCAGAGAAUGCCAACAAUCAACUGCCAGCCGAAACAUCUGAUCAGCCAGGCCCAGACACCAACAGACAAAGAGAAAUGGAGCACUCCAGUCACCUAAAGGUCAGGAAGAAAAACAAAGAUAAACUAGUGAAAGGUGACAAAACACUUAGGAAGAAGCCAGGAAGAAACGACUUUCAGUUGCCACCCACCUGCCCAAGAAACUAUAAGAGAGCAGUAAGACCGACAAUAUUUUUAUGUUCUCACAAGACAAAUAAUACAAAGACUAAAACCCACCAUAGCCAAAACAAAAAACGUUGGAAUAUGAAACCAUUCCAAGUUACCUCCUGUGGAUCUAGAAAAUGUGAAGCCUGGGUUAGAAACUUAGAACAAGCUACAGCAGUUGUAGAAGUCAAUGUGGAGGAAAGAAAAGACAUUUGAGAUUGCAUCUAAAGCCAACAAGAAGUGUGCCAGUUGGCAGUUGAAAGAAAACAUUCAAGAUGAGGGAAAAAAAAAAGAAAUUAUAAUGGUAUAAAAAAGUAGAGCUAAUAGGUUCUCUUCUAGGAUUUAUAACCUUACCUGCUAUUGCCCUUGUAUUCCCCCGAGAACUUGAAGAAGAGACUUCCAAUCCAUCAAUAAUCAUCCUGAUAACAAUGCUGCCCCUAUUGUACCUGUGGCUCUAUUGUAACACAGCAAUCAUCAUUGCAGUUUCAAGGUACAUUGUUUGGCAGAGGCAUUUACACCUUCAAGAAGAUCUCUUCAUUCUCCUCCCUAAAGACUACUGAAAACUUGUUCUGGGUAACCUUCAACAUCAGGAAAUAAAGCUUCAUAUGUCAUCC
This 956-nucleotide long non-coding RNA is filed under the name Mus pahari (shrew mouse). Its description in RNAcentral is "lncRNA (MGP_PahariEiJ_G0004485.1)". Lineage: Eukaryota; Metazoa; Chordata; Mammalia; Rodentia; Muridae. The record is from RNAcentral.